RNAcentral lists this ribosomal RNA (253 nucleotides) under uncultured bacterium. RNAcentral describes it as "partial 16S ribosomal RNA". It matches the Rfam family "Bacterial small subunit ribosomal RNA", at positions 524 to 776 of the family's 1533-position model. The record is from RNAcentral.
UACGUAGGGGGCAAGCGUUGUCCGGAAUCAUUGGGCGUGAAGCGCGUGUAGGCGGCCCGAUAAGUCCGCUGUGAAAGUCCAGGGCUCAACCCUGGAAUGCCGGUGGAUACUGUCGGGCUCGAGUCCGGAAGAGGCGAGUGGAAUUCCUGGUGUAGCGGUGAAAUGCGCAGAUAUCAGGAGGAACACCAAUGGCGAAGGCAGCUCGCUGGGACGGUACUGACGCUGAGACGCGAAAGCGUGGGGAGCAAACAGG